AUUGCUUUUAUUUUUGUAGUUCAUUUAUUUAUUUGUAUUUUAUUGUAUUAUGUAAAAGUUAGUUUUAGCUCAUUUUAACUCAUUUUUGUUUUUUUAUUUAUUUUUUUAUCUUAAUUUUUUAUCAAUUAAUUUUUUUUUCUAAUUCUAUUUUUAUUUUUUAUUUUUUAUUAUAUCUAUGAAGUAGAGCUGAGUCAGACGUGGGUUGGGGAAAUCCUGAAAGCGAACGGAGCCGGACGCGGACAGUGUUUAUGAAGCUGCUGGUGUUCAAAUUUAAAUGGAAUAGGCACUAAUUUCCCAGACAAUGUCUAUCUGGGUUUAAUAAUUGGAGUUUCGGUCUCGGGGGUUUUGGCAGCGCUUGUUUUUUUGAUGCUCUGUGUUCUGGUGAUGAUAAUAAACACUGCAAGAUGCCCUGACUGCACAGACCACAUCUCUCAGGGUUUAAUGAUUGGAGGUGUGGUCUCAGGGAUGUUGGUGCUCCUGUGUCCUGUGAUCCUCCGUGUGCUAAUAAAGAGAAUAAUAAUGUAUGAAAGAUGGACUGACUUGCUUUAUAACAUCUACUGGGAUUUAAUAGUUGGAGUUGUGGGGCUUGUGCUGAUCCUGUAUUCUGUGACCCUUUGUGUUCUGAUAUGGAGAAUAAAAAAGUAUGGAAGAAGGACUAACCACCUUAACCACAUCUAUUGGGGUUUAAUGAUUGGAGUUGUGGUGCUUGCGCUGAUCCUGUAUUCUGUGAUCCUCUGUGUUCUGAUUAUAAAAAUACGGGACAGUAAUGAACCACUUCCUCAACAAGCAGGUGCUGAUAUUGCUGGUGAUGCUGAAGAUUCUGCAGGUAGGUGGAAUAUUAUAUUUAUUCCAGAGAAAUAUUACGGUAUUAUUGUAUGUACAGCUGCAGUGGAAAUGUGUUUAAUGCUAAUAUGGUUACAUUCAGGUGUUCAGAUUUAUACUUUUAAUUUUCCUCUUAAGCUCCAGUCAGUGCAGUGCUCCAUAGUCCUGCUCUAAUCAUAUAUUGAUCACUGAUAUUUUCACCCUCAAUUCCAAAAGACAUUGGUAAAGAAUGUUCAUCAUGUGUUUUCUAUUAUAUUGUGAAUAAAAUGUGUGUCUAUGUAAUUUGGAACCA
This 1114-nucleotide long non-coding RNA is filed under the name Astyanax mexicanus (Mexican tetra). RNAcentral describes it as "lncRNA (ENSAMXG00005010651.1)". The record is from RNAcentral. Lineage: Eukaryota; Metazoa; Chordata; Actinopteri; Characiformes; Acestrorhamphidae.